Molecule: RNA transcript, 1752 nt
Organism: Cannabis sativa
Lineage: Eukaryota; Viridiplantae; Streptophyta; Magnoliopsida; Rosales; Cannabaceae
Gene name: GCN5-related N-acetyltransferase 5, chloroplastic
Exons: 6
Source: RefSeq, a predicted model, not a curated record
UUGGUGAAUUGAUGAAAAAAGAAAGAAGUGGUGGUCGAUGGUCGUGGAGGAAGGCGAUGCUUCCAAACGAAUCUGAUCCAACAUAGCCUCCACUCCAGUCCAGUCCAGUCCAGUCCACCACAACUCUCUUCACUCCAACUCCAAUGGCUACCCCUGCAACUCUCUCACUCUCCUUCUCCUUAGAUCCCCAACACCACCUUCCCCACCAUUACUGCUGCGCAACCCAUUUCAAGCCCCAUCAAACGCUUCUCUUCAACUCCACCACUCCUCUCCCCAAAUACCCACUUCUUUUCCACCCCAAAUCCGACCGUUACAUCGUCAAAUCUUCAUCUUCAUCUUCUCCGCCUUCACCUUCUUCAACUACAGCUCCAGAACCAGACCCAGAACCAGCCUCGCCUUACUUCUUAGACACACUUGGUACAGGUCGGUUCUUGACCAAUGAAGAGCUUGAUAAGCUCAAAUUCCUUGAUGGGUUCUCGUAUUCUCAGGAAUUGGAAUCUGGGGUUUUAUGUGUUCGGGUUAUGAGAGCAGAGGAAAUGGAUAUGACCAUUUCUUUGCUCGCUGAGUCCUUUGCUGAGUCCAUGGCUAUGGCUUCGGCUUAUGAUACUCUGCUUAAGUUCUUCAUAAAGCAAUACUUGAUGGAAAGAAGGUCUCUAAUGCCUCAUGCUGUAACCCUCGUUGGAUUUUUCAGAAAGAAAAAACAGCAAGAAGAUGAUGAUGAAGAAGAAGAAGAGGAAUUGGCGGGAACAGUAGAAGUUAGUUUUGACAAGAGGGGUGCUAAUACGUCUCCUCCAACGCCUACUCCUCCCAAGAAUUCGCCUUAUAUAUGUAACAUGACUGUGAAGCAUCAGCUCCGGAGGAGAGGAAUUGGGUGGCAUCUUCUAAAGGCUUCAGAAGAACUAAUUUCUCAGAUGAGUUCGACUAGGGAUGUGUACUUACACUGCAGAAUGAUUGAUGAAGCUCCCUUUAACAUGUACAUAAAAGCAGGUUACCAUGUUGUAAAGACAGAUACCAUUUUGAUUUUAUUGAUGUUACAACGUCGCAAGCACUUGAUGUGCAAAAAGCUUCCAGUUGUAACAAUCUCCGAAGAAUCAUCCGAUGAGGAAUGUUAAUGAAUUAAGCAUGUUUGCCUGAGGUGAAGGAUGUAAUUGAAUGAGAUUUUUGACAAAUAUGGGGUUGGCUAUUCGAGUGGCAGGUCGAAUUGGCAUCCAGUAAUUGUUGCUUGUAUCUAUUAUAAAGGUGGGAACCUGCUCUGUUGCAGAUUAUCAGCUGGAGUUCUUUUACACAUUCUUCCAUGGAGGGUCUUUCACUGCUUUCAACACGAACACAUCUCGAUGCCAGAUUCGCAAACAUUGCUAUAGACUCCAUGGUAACAAGGUUUUGGUCGUUCGGUCCCAGGUUCAGAUCCACAGCCCGACGUCCAGUCAAUAACUCCAGAAGAACCACACCAAAUGCAUAAACAUCACUUUGUAAAAUUCCCAUUUUUCAUAUAUUCAUAUACAAGAAACCGGUCCUUCCCAUCUGCACAGUAGCCCACCAAAGUAACCAGAUUUGGGUGAUCAAGUCUGCUCAGUAUAUCGACUUCUACACGAAAUUCCAGUUCUCCCUCGGCUUCUUUAAAUGGUGCUAGCUCCAUUUUCUUGAUUGCUACAACCUUUUUUGUGUCCAAAACAGUAAGAAAUCAAUAUAUGUAUCACCAAAUACAAACAUUCUUAUACUUAUUUUGUUUGGUAUAUGAAAAAUUAUUAUGUA